Molecule: ribosomal RNA, 1309 nt
Filed under: uncultured bacterium
Lineage: Bacteria
Description: bacterial SSU rRNA
Rfam family: Bacterial small subunit ribosomal RNA
Source: RNAcentral
GAUGAACGCUAGCGGGAGGCCUAACACAUGCAAGCCGAGCGGUAUUGUUUCUUCGGAAAUGAGAGAGCGGCGUACGGGUGCGGAACACGUGUGCAACCUGCCUUUAUCUGGGGGAUAGCCUUUCGAAAGGAAGAUUAAUACUCCAUAAUAUAUUGAGCGGCAUCGUUUAAUAUUGAAAGCUCCGGCGGAUAGAGAUGGGCACGCGCAAGAUUAGCUAGUUGGUGAGGUAACGGCUCACCAAGGCGAUGAUCUUUAGGGGGCCUGAGAGGGUGAUCCCCCACACUGGUACUGAGACACGGACCAGACUCCUACGGGAGGCAGCAGUGAGGAAUAUUGGUCAAUGGGUGCAAGCCUGAACCAGCCAUCCCGCGUGAAGGACGACUGCCCUAUGGGUUGUAAACUUCUUUUGUAUAGGGAUAAACCUACCCUCGUGAGGGUAGCUGAAGGUACUAUACGAAUAAGCACCGGCUAACUCCGUGCCAGCAGCCGCGGUAAUACGGAGGGUGCAAGCGUUAUCCGGAUUUAUUGGGUCUAAAGGGUCCGUAGGCGGACUUAUAAGUCAGUGGUGAAAGCCUGUCGCUUAACGAUAGAACUGCCAUUGAUACUGUAAGUCUUGAGUAUAUUUGAGGUAGCUGGAAUAAGUAGUGUAGCGGUGAAAUGCAUAGAUAUUACUUAGAACACCAAUUGCGAAGGCAGGUUACCAAGAUAUAACUGACGCUGAGGGACGAAAGCGUGGGGAGCGAACAGGAUUAGAUACCCUGGUAGUCCACGCCGUAAACGAUGCUAACUCGUUUUUGGGCUUUAGGGUUCAGAGACCAAGCGAAAGUGAUAAGUUAGCCACCUGGGGAGUACGCUCGCAAGAGUGAAACUCAAAGAAAUUGACGGGGGCCCGCACAAGCGGUGGAUUAUGUGGUUUAAUUCGAUGAUACGCGAGGAACCUUACCAAGACUUAAAUGGGAAUUGACAGCUCUAGAAAUAGAGCUUUCUUCGGACAAUUUUCAAGGUGCUGCAUGGUUGUCGUCAGCUCGUGCCGUGAGGUGUUAGGUUAAGUCCUGCAACGAGCGCAACCCCUGUCACUAGUUGCCAUCAUUCAGUUGGGGACUCUAGUGAGACUGCCUACGCAAGUAGAGAGGAAGGUGGGGAUGACCUCAAACCAUCCCGGCCCUUACGUCUUGGGCCACACACGUAAUACAAUGGCCGGUACAGAGGGCAGCUACCCCAGCAAUGUGAUGCAAUUCUCGAAAAGCCGGUCUCAGUUCGGAUUGGAGCCUGCAACUCCAACCUAUGAAGCUGGAAUCGCCUAGUAAUC